GAUGAACGCUGGCGGCGUGCCUAAUACAUGCAAGUCGAGCGAACAGACGAGGAGCUUGCUCCUCUGACGUUAGCGGCGGACGGGUGAGUAACACGUGGAUAACCUACCUAUAAGACUGGGAUAACUUCGGGAAACCGGAGCUAAUACCGGAUAAUAUAUUGAACCGCAUGGUUCAAUAGUGAAAGACGGUUUUGCUGUCACUUAUAGAUGGAUCCGCGCCGCAUUAGCUAGUUGGUAAGGUAACGGCUUACCAAGGCAACGAUGCGUAGCCGACCUGAGAGGGUGAUCGGCCACACUGGAACGGAGACACGGUCCAGACUCCUACGGGAGGCAGCAGUAGGGAAUCUUCCGCAAUGGGCGAAAGUUUGACGGAGCAACGCCGCGUGAGUGAUGAAGGUCUUCGGAGCGUAAAACUCUGUUAUGAGGGAAGAACAAAUGUGUAAGUAACUAUGCACGUCUUGACGGUACCUAAUCAGAAAGCCACGGCUAACUACGUG
Molecule: ribosomal RNA, 497 nt
Filed under: uncultured bacterium
Lineage: Bacteria
Description: partial 16S ribosomal RNA
Rfam family: Bacterial small subunit ribosomal RNA
Source: RNAcentral